UACGUAGGCAGCGAGCGUUGUUCGGAGUUACUGGGCGUAAAGCGUGCGUAGGCGGUCUUGUAAGUCUGGUGUGAAAUCUCCCGGCUCAACUGGGAGGGUGCGCCGGAAACUGCAAGGCUGGAGUAUGGGAGAGGUAGGCGGAAUUGACGGUGUAGCGGUGAAAUGCUUAGAUAUCGUCAAGAACACCGAUAGCGAAGGCAGCUUACUAGGCUGUAACUGACGCUGAGGCACGAAAGUGUGGGGAUCAAACAGG
RNAcentral lists this ribosomal RNA (253 nucleotides) under uncultured bacterium. RNAcentral's name for it is "partial 16S ribosomal RNA". It matches the Rfam family "Bacterial small subunit ribosomal RNA", at positions 524 to 776 of the family's 1533-position model. The record is from RNAcentral.